CGAUGAAUUUUUCUCCUAAGAUAGAGACCUAGUCUGAUGAACCUUCUCCUAGGAUCCAAAUCUUAGUCUGAUGAAUCUUUCUCCUAAGAUACCAAAAAGAAAAGACCUAGUCUGAUGAGCCUUCUCCUAGGAUCAAAAUCUUAGUCCGAUGAAUUCUUCUCCUAAGAUAGAGACCUAGUCUGAUGAACCUUCUCCUAGGAUCAAAAUCUUAGUCUGACGAAUCUUUCUCCUAAGAUACCAAAAAACAAGACCUAGUCUGAUGAACCUUCUCCUAGGAUCAAAAUCUUAGUCCGAUGAAUUUUUCUCCUAAGAUAGAGACCUAGUCUGAUGAACCUUCUCCUAGGAUCCAAAUCUUAGUCUGAUGAAUCUUUCUCCUAAGAUACCAAAAAAGCAAGACCUAGUCUGAUGAACCUUCUCCUAGGAUCAAAAUCUUAGUCUGACGAAUUUUCCUCCUAAGAUAGA
Molecule: long non-coding RNA, 462 nt
Filed under: Nicotiana tabacum (common tobacco)
Lineage: Eukaryota; Viridiplantae; Streptophyta; Magnoliopsida; Solanales; Solanaceae
Description: long non-coding RNA (NTAB_LNC008880)
Source: RNAcentral